CAAUCUUGGAAUGAAUUGCUGUUUUCUAAUGCUGAGUGAUGGGUUUUAUUGGUCAGCAAAAGAUGAUAGAAUGUGAUGUUUUAGGACAAUGUACCUGGACCACAACCGUUUGCCCUUAAUACUUGUGGUAAUACGAACUUGCAGGACUCCUGCUAAUGGACCGGCUUGCCAAGUACAGGCCUUGAUCAGGAAUAAGUUACACAUCAAUUGUUGGACAUAAAUUACGGAAAGUAAACUCUUCGGACUUUAUAAAACACAGGCCUUGAGAAGAGCCUGGGAUUUUUGGCCUCUGGAGUCCCUCUCUACUUUUGCAGAAGUUCUUUCGUUCUUGGCUUUUCCUGUUAUCCAUCCAACUUUCUCCAACUGGGAAGUAGAUGAGGGCUUCCUGCUCCAGUCUCACAUGCUGUUUAGUGUCCACAAAAGCCAAGAGUUUUGCUUCUGUGAGAACUUAGCUGCAACUCCUUGCUCAAUAAAAAUUAUGCAACAUAAAAACACAGUAAAUGAUCUAUAAUAUUCUUAUCUAUUCUUGUAGAAUUUUAUACUGGCAUAUAGUGCAUCUCUAUCAUAUUUGGUUUCCCAUGUUUGAUUUCGGAGACUUCUAAAAUGUCAUGUAGAAUUCAUAAAAAUUAUAGACUAGCAUGCAAUUUGUCAGCCCUUAGCUGUUAAAAUCAAGACUUAUGAC
This 682-nucleotide long non-coding RNA is filed under the name Rattus norvegicus (Norway rat). RNAcentral describes it as "long non-coding RNA NONRATT032469". Lineage: Eukaryota; Metazoa; Chordata; Mammalia; Rodentia; Muridae. The record is from RNAcentral.